This 495-nucleotide ribosomal RNA is filed under the name Hermatomyces krabiensis. RNAcentral describes it as "partial 18S ribosomal RNA". The stretch from base 73 to 384 matches the Rfam family "Group I catalytic intron". Rfam says of the family: Group I catalytic introns are large self-splicing ribozymes. They catalyse their own excision from mRNA, tRNA and rRNA precursors in a wide range of organisms. The record is from RNAcentral. Lineage: Eukaryota; Fungi; Ascomycota; Dothideomycetes; Pleosporales; Hermatomycetaceae.
CCGCGAGGUUGGGUUGAUCCUUCCGCGUAACACUUGCCGAAGCCUUAGCAGCCCGAAAGGGUGCAGCCCCAACGACUAUAAUCAUGAGAGGGCUGCUUAAAUGCUAGUCUGCGCAGUGCAGGCGACACUAUCAAAUUGCGGGAACACCCUAAAGACCUCAACACCAAGCGCCUGUGGGAAACCACAGCGUGGCCGAGCUAAUAGCCCUGGGUAUGGUAACAGCUUGAGGUAUGACGCUCUCUCGGGAGUCGAAAUGGGCAAUCCGCAGCCAAGUCCUACAGCACUUAGGUGCCAUGGAUGCUGUUCACAGGCCAAAUGGUAGUGGGUGACCCCCCAAGAUGGGCGUUGCUUAAGAUAUGGUCGGGCCCCUCCAGAAAUGCUGGGGAUAAGUUUACGCCAGCAGGCACUGCUCAGGGAGUAUGUUUCCACACCCCCUAAGCUUGCUUGUCUGAUGAACCAAACCGUUCCGUAGGUGAACCUGCGGAAGGAUCAUUA